Molecule: transfer RNA, 125 nt
Filed under: Ephemerocybe angulata
Lineage: Eukaryota; Fungi; Basidiomycota; Agaricomycetes; Agaricales; Psathyrellaceae
Description: Coprinellus angulatus tRNA
Rfam family: tRNA
About the family: Transfer RNA (tRNA) molecules are approximately 80 nucleotides in length. Their secondary structure includes four short double-helical elements and three loops (D, anti-codon, and T loops).
Source: Rfam by way of RNAcentral
GGUGAGAUGGCCGAGCGGUCUAAGGCGCCAGACUAAGGACCAGGACAUUCGAUGUCCACCCCCAAGUUCUUCACUGAACAGUUAUCUGGUCCGAAAGGGCGUGGGUUCGAAUCCCACUCUCAUCA